GAUGAAGAACGUAGUGAAAUGCGAUAAGUAGUGUGAAUUGCAGAAUUCAGUGAAUCAUCGAAUCUUUGAACGCACAUUGCGCCCCUUGGUAUUCCAUGGGGCAUGCCUGUUCGAGCGUCAUUUGUACCUUCAAGCUCUGCUUGGUGUUGGGUGUUUGUCUCGCCUCUGCGUGUAGACUCGCCUCAAAACAAUUGGCAGCCGGCGUAUUGAUUUCGGAGCGCAGUACAUCACGCGCUUUGCACUCAUAACGACGACGUCCAAAAGUACAUUUUUACACUCUUGACCUCGGAUCAGGUAGGGAUACCCGCUGAACUUAAGCAUAUCAAUAAGCGGAGGA
This 337-nucleotide unclassified non-coding RNA is filed under the name soil metagenome. Its description in RNAcentral is "partial contains 5.8S ribosomal RNA, internal transcribed spacer 2, and large subunit ribosomal RNA". The stretch from base 1 to 120 matches the Rfam family "5.8S ribosomal RNA", at positions 35 to 154 of the family's 154-position model. The record is from RNAcentral.